Bufo bufo (common toad) is the source of this 68-nucleotide small nucleolar RNA. RefSeq annotates it as small nucleolar RNA SNORD58. The record is from RefSeq and is a predicted model, not a curated record. Lineage: Eukaryota; Metazoa; Chordata; Amphibia; Anura; Bufonidae. The transcript has a single exon.
UUGCAAUGAUGACUAUCUUAGGACACCUUUGGAAUAACCAUGAAAACAACCAUUUUGUUCUGAGCAAC